RNAcentral lists this ribosomal RNA (1018 nucleotides) under uncultured bacterium. RNAcentral describes it as "bacterial SSU rRNA". It matches the Rfam family "Bacterial small subunit ribosomal RNA", at positions 355 to 1375 of the family's 1533-position model. The record is from RNAcentral.
UGAGGAAUAUUGGUCAAUGGACGCAAGUCUGAACCAGCCAUGCCGCGUGCAGGAUGACGGCUCUAUGAGUUGUAAACUGCUUUUGUACGAGGGUAAACGCAGAUACGUGUAUCUGUCUGAAAGUAUCGUACGAAUAAGGAUCGGCUAACUCCGUGCCAGCAGCCGCGGUAAUACGGAGGAUUCAAGCGUUAUCCGGAUUUAUUGGGUUUAAAGGGUGCGUAGGCGGUUUGAUAAGUUAGAGGUGAAAUUUCGGGGCUCAACCCUGAACGUGCCUCUAAUACUGUUGAGCUAGAGAGUAGUUGCGGUAGGCGGAAUGUAUGGUGUAGCGGUGAAAUGCUUAGAGAUCAUACAGAACACCGAUUGCGAAGGCAGCUUACCAAACUAUAUCUGACGUUGAGGCACGAAAGCGUGGGGAGCAAACAGGAUUAGAUACCCUGGUAGUCCACGCAGUAAACGAUGAUAACUCGUUGUCGGCGAUACACAGUCGGUGACUAAGCGAAAGCGAUAAGUUAUCCACCUGGGGAGUACGUUCGCAAGAAUGAAACUCAAAGGAAUUGACGGGGGCCCGCAUAAGCGGAGGAACAUGUGGUUUAAUUCGAUGAUACGCGAGGAACCUUACCCGGGCUUGAAAGUUAGCGACGAUUCUUGAAAGAGGAUUUCCCUUCGGGGCGCGAAACUAGGUGCUGCAUGGUUGUCGUCAGCUCGUGCCGUGAGGUGUCGGGUUAAGUCCCAUAACGAGCGCAACCCCUACCGUUAGUUGCCAUCAGGUGAAGCUGGGCACUCUGGCGGGACUGCCGGUGUAAGCCGAGAGGAAGGUGGGGAUGACGUCAAAUCAGCACGGCCCUUACGUCCGGGGCUACACACGUGUUACAAUGGUAGGUACAGAGGGCAGCUACCCAGCGAUGGGAUGCGAAUCUCGAAAGCCUAUCUCAGUUCGGAUUGGAGGCUGAAACCCGCCUCCAUGAAGUUGGAUUCGCUAGUAAUCGCGCAUCAGCCAUGGCGCGGUGAAUACGUUCCC